This 94-nucleotide ribosomal RNA is filed under the name Stanhopea pulla. Its description in RNAcentral is "5.8S ribosomal RNA". It matches the Rfam family "5.8S ribosomal RNA", at positions 1 to 89 of the family's 154-position model. Rfam says of the family: 5.8S ribosomal RNA (5.8S rRNA) is a component of the large subunit of the eukaryotic ribosome. It is transcribed by RNA polymerase I as part of the 45S precursor that also contains 18S and 28S rRNA. Functionally, it is thought that 5.8S rRNA may be involved in ribosome translocation. The record is from RNAcentral. Lineage: Eukaryota; Viridiplantae; Streptophyta; Magnoliopsida; Asparagales; Orchidaceae.
GACACGACUCUCGGCAAUGGAUAUCUCGGCUCUCGCAUCGAUGAAGAGCGCAGCGAAAUGCGAUAGGUGGUGCGAAUUGCAGAAUCCCGCGAAC